AAAUCUUAGAAGUAUUUAGCUUGAUUUAUAAUAAGUGUGUAAAUUUUGGAAGUAAAAUAACAAUUCAAUCAGGAGUAAUUGGCUCUAGAAGAUUGGCAUCAAGGUUGAAAAAGGAGGUUAGUGGACACCUAGGCACAUUUUUGAGCUAACUUCUAUUUAGUAAUUUUGAUCCUUUUCAAAUUUUUUGUACUUAUUGUUAACUUAAUUAGUGAAGAAUGUGAAAAUUUUGAAUUGAAAUCAAUGGAUUUGUUUUGAUUUAGGAUUUAGUUUGGAUUAAGAUUUGAUUAGGAUUAGGAUUUCGUUAGGGUUAGAAUUGGGAUUAGAAUUUGAUUAGGAUUAAGAUUUGAUUAGGAUUUGGUUAGGUUUAGAAUUAGGAUUAGAAUUUGAUUAGGAUUAAUAUUUGAUUAGGAUUAGGAUUUGAUUAGGAUUAAGAUUUGAUUAGGAUUUAGAAUUUGAUCUAAGAUUUGAUUAAGAAUCUUAAAUUUUUAUUUUUAGUAUUUAAAGAUAUCUUUGUUGUAUUUUUAGGAUUAUUUAUAUAU
This 539-nucleotide long non-coding RNA is filed under the name Physcomitrium patens. RNAcentral's name for it is "long non-coding RNA (PPAT_LNC011813)". Lineage: Eukaryota; Viridiplantae; Streptophyta; Bryopsida; Funariales; Funariaceae. The record is from RNAcentral.